This is a long non-coding RNA of Columba livia (rock pigeon), 977 nucleotides long. RefSeq lists it as uncharacterized. NCBI's taxonomy places the organism in Eukaryota, Metazoa, Chordata, Aves, Columbiformes, Columbidae. The transcript is spliced from 3 exons. The record is from RefSeq and is a predicted model, not a curated record.
ACGUGACAUCUGUCAUCCUGUCCGCAGCCCCUUUAUCUGUCCGUGAAUGGGCAGGCGCAGUGACCCCCAUUCAGAACGCCCUGUGAAUGGGGAAUUGACGACCCAGACAGGACGCGCCAUGAGUGGGGAUUUGACCCCCACGAGUGGGGAUUUGACCCCCACGAGUGGGGAUUUGACACCACAGGCAGGGUCCAUGACACCAUCGGCGGGGUCUAUGAUGUCACAGGUCACGUGACGUCUGUGUUUCCGCCCGCAGCACCUCCGUCUGUCCCUGAACGAGGAGGCGCAGUGACCCCCAUUCAGGACACCCCGUGAAUGGGGAAUUGACGACCCAGACAGGACACGCCAUGAGUGGGGAUUUGAGCCCCACGAGUGGGGAUUUGAGCCCCGUGAGCGGGGAUUUGACACCACAGGCAGGGUCCAUGACACCAUAGGCGGGGUCUGUGACGUCACAGGUCACGUGACGUCCGCGUUUCCGCCCGCAGCACCUCCGUCUGUCCCUGAACGAGGAGGCGCAGUGCCGCGUGCAGCACCUGUGGUUCCAGUCGGUGCUGGACAUGCUGGAGCACUUCCGGGUGCACCCCAUCCCCCUCGAGUCCGGGGGGCCCAGCGACGUCACCCUGCUCAGCUACGUCGUGGCGGCGCAGCGGCCAAUGGGCCGCGAUCGCUCCGGGAGCCGUUCGGCCACCGACCCCGACGACCUGGCCGAGCAGCUCCCGUAACAACGACCCCCAAAUCCCGCCCCUCCCCCCCAACCAUGGACCUCAGCGCGCCCCUCCCCCCACUUUUUGUAACCCUCCCCGCCCCCCCCCCCUCCCCCCAAGGUGGGGGGGGGGGUCCCAGGUACUUCAGCGCCCCCCGAACACUACGGGGGGAGGGGCGCCCCCAAAAUCCCCCUUUUCGCCCCCAAAAAUCCCCUCGUUGGGGGGUCGGACGAAAACCGGCGGCGCUUUUUGGAAGAAAAGCGGAAAAUCAGA